This is a non-coding RNA of Vicia faba (fava bean), 273 nucleotides long. The record is from the annotation of a GenBank genome assembly. Lineage: Eukaryota; Viridiplantae; Streptophyta; Magnoliopsida; Fabales; Fabaceae.
AUGUCAACAAAUUAUCUUCCACCACCAUCACCGGAUACACCUUCGCCUCCAUACCUGACGGUGCCGAUGCCUUGGUCACCGGGUCCACCUAUGCUAACAUGGCCACCACCUAUAUCAUCAGAUAAGUUAUCAUCUGAUGACUCUUCUUCUUCAACAUCAACAUUUGGCAUCGUUAUUGGUGUUGCUGCCGGGGUCCUAGGUGUUCUUUUGUUGUUUGCGAUUUGGCACAAGUAUCUUAGGAAGAAAAGUUGUUAUUCAAGAUCAAAGUGUUAG